AGGGUUUCUUCCCUCUUGACAGAGGUUUACGAUCCGAAGACCUUCAUCCCUCACGAGGCGUCGCUGCGUCAGGCUUUCGCCCAUUGCGCAAUAUUCCCCACUGCUGCCUCCCGUAG
Molecule: ribosomal RNA, 116 nt
Filed under: uncultured bacterium
Lineage: Bacteria
Description: partial 16S ribosomal RNA
Source: RNAcentral